UCAAUGUACGUGAAACAGGCUGUCGUAUCGGUCGUCAGCGUUGUAAUCCGACGUGGCCGUGGAAAAAAUCGGUAGUGAUACUCGUAAACACUAUGUAGAACCAGCUGUUGCCCGUUGGCACUCGAUCUGUGGCUUCGUCGAUGUGCGGAGGCUGUAUUUUCGACCUCUACCACCGAUAAAGGCACACGCCAACACAGAAGCCGCGGGAUAGAAGAGUGGUCCACUUGAGUCUUCUAGUCGUAUCCAUUUGGCACUCAUGAGUAAUGUGGGUAACGUUUUCAUCAGUGUGUACCUAUACACAAAACAGUGUGCCCCUCAGCUAGCUUGGGUUAGCCAAUGUGUUUCUUAGCUAGCUUGUGUUUGCAGGGGUCUGUGGCACUCAUGUGGCAUUGGACGCCAUCGCUCUUGUACGUCUUCCUAUACAGUACUCUUACGCAACAGUGUUCUUUGCGAUUGUCGCUGCAGCUGAAUAAUGGUGAAGCCGUCCAAUUCUCAGGCUUGUAUGCAGCCAGGACGCUGAUGCAGGUUGAAGCUGCUUUCAGGAGGUAAGAUUUGCGUUUUACUGACGGUAGAAGGAAGCGACAAAAUAGGCAGAUCAAUCACGCAGUAACGACGUGCCAAGGACUAUUCAUUCAAGUUCUCGAACUUUCUGAAGAAAGAAGCGUUAUCAGCUACUGAAUGGCAGAGCAAACUACCCUUGAUUUGAGACGCGCAAAUUCACGUACCGAGAGGGCCCGCACGUGGGCAGUCCCUUCAGAACUGUAGUUUCAUCCGCUGCCCUGGUUUUUCAAGGUAGAAGUGUUUUGACAGAAACGUAGCGACAAUUGUGCGCCUCAGUGGAGAGAACAGGUACCGUGGAACUACCAUAACAGUGUCUGCAUCCUUCAUAACAUUCACUUUUCGUCCUAUUGCGUAGGGAGUGUUGAUCAGAGGUCCUGUCGUACCAAUGAUCUGCCUGGGAUCGCUGGACUGGAAUAUUGCACUACGCGAACAGGCCAGAGUCGACCGCGCUCAUGACUCUUGUUAACAUGCUGAUAACUCAAGACGUAUGGUGCAGGGACAAGAAAGCCAGUGCAAACUAAGGUGUUUCCUCGGAGGACACGCGUAUUGGUCUCAGGAAAGUAUGCGGGGUCGUAGCUUCCCGACAAGAAAUGUCGCCGUACACUGAAUACAAUGCCACGUAUUGUCCUGUAACGUCGUUUGAGAUACUACACCGAACUUCCCACGUGACAUCGGGAUAUAUAGUCGUGCGUGUCCAAAGAACCGGAGUAGAGGCUGAUAAACGCAUUAUCUCCGGAGUCCACUCUCCGCCAGAAUGACUCCCUGUGC
This 1329-nucleotide long non-coding RNA is filed under the name Toxoplasma gondii VEG. The record is from RNAcentral. Lineage: Eukaryota; Apicomplexa; Conoidasida; Eucoccidiorida; Sarcocystidae.